GUUCCGGAACCUGACCUGAGCUGGGGCCUGUGCUUCCAGCGGGUGGUGGGGGGCCUGGUGUGCUGGCAUCAAGUAAGCCGACUACCUCGGCAAAGGCUUAGGGACAAGAGACCAGCAGCCUGAACUGGCUGGGGCAUCCGGAAGGCUUAGAUCUUGUGGCCAAGAGUUCAGACCGUGGCGAAGUGGAGAGUGACAUGCAGUUGGAUGGCGGUGACUGCGUGGUCCUGCAACCCUGGUUCCAGUCUGGCAAGCAUUGUAGACCUGGCUGCUGAAGACUGACGGGGCCCAGGGUCCGCUGCCCCCACCGCCAUCACCACCUCGGAACCCAGGGUAACGCUGUCAGUCUUUGAUGAUGUCAGAAGUGGGAUCCAAAGUAGAGCUUAUAAUGACACCCAGGAGUGCUGAGUGACCAAGCAAGGUACCCACCAGGCCGAUUAUGUCCAUUGUUCUCUUGGAGCAGCUGGUCAUCAUGUGUCCUGCUCUGUCACCCAGGUUGAAGUGCAGUGGGCGAUCAUGGCUCAUGGCAGCCUCGACCUCCCAAGAUCAAGCAAUCCU
RNAcentral lists this small RNA (555 nucleotides) under Pan troglodytes (chimpanzee). RNAcentral's name for it is "sense overlapping". The record is from RNAcentral. Lineage: Eukaryota; Metazoa; Chordata; Mammalia; Primates; Hominidae.